AGUGAACGCUGGCGGUAGGCCUAACACAUGCAAGUCGAACGGCAGCACAGUAAGAGCUUGCUCUUACGGGUGGCGAGUGGCGGACGGGUGAGGAAUACAUCGGAAUCUACUUUUUCGUGGGGGAUAACGUAGGGAAACUUACGCUAAUACCGCAUACGACCUACGGGUGAAAGCAGGGGAUCUUCGGACCUUGCGCGAUUGAAUGAGCCGAUGUCGGAUUAGCUAGUUGGCGGGGUAAAGGCCCACCAAGGCGACGAUCCGUAGCUGGUCUGAGAGGAUGGUCAGCCACACUGGAACUGAGACACGGUCCAGACUCCUACGGGAGGCAGCAGUGGGGAAUAUUGGACAAUGGGCGCAAGCCUGAUCCAGCCAUACCGCGUGGGUGAAGAAGGCCUUCGGGUUGUAAAGCCAUUUUGUUGGGAAAGAAAAGCAGCAGGUUAAUACCCCGCUGUUCUGACGGUACCCAAAGAAUAAGCACCGGCUAACUUCGUG
RNAcentral lists this ribosomal RNA (492 nucleotides) under uncultured bacterium. RNAcentral describes it as "partial 16S ribosomal RNA". It matches the Rfam family "Bacterial small subunit ribosomal RNA", at positions 29 to 507 of the family's 1533-position model. The record is from RNAcentral.